This 413-nucleotide ribosomal RNA is filed under the name uncultured prokaryote. Its description in RNAcentral is "bacterial SSU rRNA". It matches the Rfam family "Bacterial small subunit ribosomal RNA", at positions 505 to 918 of the family's 1533-position model. The record is from RNAcentral.
GUGUCAGCCGCCGCGGUAAGACGGAGGGCGCUAGCGUUGUUCGGAAUCACUGGGCGUAAAGGGCGCGUAGGCGGCCCGGUCAGUCGGGUGUGAAAGCCCGGGGCUCAACCCCGGAAUUGCAUUCGAUACUGCCGGGCUGGAGACCGGAAGAGGUGGGUGGAAUACCCAGUGUAGAGGUGAAAUUCGUAGAUAUUGGGUGGAACACCGGUGGCGAAAGCGGCUCACUGGUCCGGUUCUGACGCUGAGGCGCGAAAGCGUGGGGAGCAAACAGGAUUAGAUACCCUGGUAGUCCACGCCCUAAACGAUGUGCGCUAGAUGUCGGGGACGCUCGUCCUCGGUGUCGGAGCCAACGUGUUAAGCGCACCGCCUGGGGAGUACGGCCGCAAGGUUAAAACUUAAAUGAAUUGACGGGG